GCGCCUAUAGUUUAAUUGCUUAAAACAGCAGACUCUAAAUCUGCCUCUUGGGAGUUGAAGUCUCUCUGGGCGUGCCA
This 77-nucleotide transfer RNA is filed under the name Bacteriophage sp. RNAcentral's name for it is "tRNA-OTHER". It matches the Rfam family "tRNA". From Rfam's summary of the family: Transfer RNA (tRNA) molecules are approximately 80 nucleotides in length. Their secondary structure includes four short double-helical elements and three loops (D, anti-codon, and T loops). RNAcentral also lists the same sequence under 2 other names. The record is from RNAcentral.